GACAGAGGGUGCAAACGUUGCUCGGAAUUACUGGGCGUAAAGCGCGUGUAGGCGGACCUGCAAGUCGGACGUGAAAGCCCUGGGCUCAACCCAGGAACUGCAUCCGAAACUGCGGGCCUGGAGUGGUGGAGAGGGAAGCAGAAUUCCCGGUGUAGAGGUGAAAUUCGUAGAUAUCGGGAGGAACACCAGUGGCGAAGGCGGCGAUCUGGGAAGAUACUGACGCUGAGGUGCGAAAGCGUGGGGAGCAAACAGG
This 253-nucleotide ribosomal RNA is filed under the name uncultured bacterium. Its description in RNAcentral is "partial 16S ribosomal RNA". It matches the Rfam family "Bacterial small subunit ribosomal RNA", at positions 524 to 776 of the family's 1533-position model. The record is from RNAcentral.